GACGAACGCUGGCGGCGUGCUUAACACAUGCAAGUCGAACGGAAAGGCCCGCUUGCGGGUACUCGAGUGGCGAACGGGUGAGUAACACGUGGGCAACCUGCCCUCAGCUCUGGGAUAACUCCGGGAAACCGGUGCUAAUACUGGAUACGACUGCGCAGCGCAUGGUGUGGGGUUGAAAGUUUUUCGGCUGAGGAUGGGCCCGCGGCCUAUCAGCUUGUUGGUGGGGUAAUGGCCUACCAAGGCGACGACGGGUAGCCGGCCUGAGAGGGCGACCGGCCACACUGGGACUGAGACACGGCCCAGACUCCUACGGGAGGCAGCAGUGGGGAAUAUUGCGCAAUGGGCGAAAGCCUGACGCAGCGACGCCGCGUGAGGGAUGACGGCCUUCGGGUUGUAAACCUCUUUCAGCUCUGACGAAGCGAAAGUGACGGUAGGAGCAGAAGAAGCACCGGCCAACUACGUGCCAGCCGCCGCCGUAA
This 479-nucleotide ribosomal RNA is filed under the name uncultured bacterium. RNAcentral's name for it is "partial 16S ribosomal RNA". It matches the Rfam family "Bacterial small subunit ribosomal RNA", at positions 28 to 523 of the family's 1533-position model. The record is from RNAcentral.